This 468-nucleotide ribosomal RNA is filed under the name uncultured bacterium. RNAcentral describes it as "partial 16S ribosomal RNA". It matches the Rfam family "Bacterial small subunit ribosomal RNA", at positions 28 to 507 of the family's 1533-position model. The record is from RNAcentral.
GACGAACGCUGGCGGCGUGCUUGACACAUGCAAGUCGAACGGAGAGGCCCUGCUUUUGUGGGGUGCUCGAGUGGCGAACGGGCGAGUAACACGUGAGUAACCUGCCCUUGACUUUGGGAUAACUUCAGGAAACUGGGGCUAAUACCGGAUAGGAGCUCCUGCUGCAUGGUGGGGGUUGGAAAGUUUCGGCGGUUGGGGAUGGACUCGCGGCUUAUCAGCUUGUUGGUGGGGUAGUGGCUUACCAAGGCUUUGACGGGUAGCCGGCCUGAGAGGGUGACCGGCCACAUUGGGACUGAGAUACGGCCCAGACUCCUACGGGAGGCAGCAGUGGGGAAUAUUGCACAAUGGGCGGAAGCCUGAUGCAGCAACGCCGCGUGCGGGAUGACGGCCUUCGGGUUGUAAACCGCUUUCGCCUGUGACGAAGCGUGAGUGACGGUAAUGGGUAAAGAAGCACCGGCUAACUACGUG